RNAcentral lists this long non-coding RNA (3275 nucleotides) under Homo sapiens (human). Its description in RNAcentral is "HSALNT0030657". Lineage: Eukaryota; Metazoa; Chordata; Mammalia; Primates; Hominidae. The record is from RNAcentral.
GAAUGAGUGAAUGGGCUGUAGGAAGCUCUGAGGAUGAAGCUUGUGAAGCCACAGGCUGUGGAGUUUGGGGCUUCCUGGGGGUAGAAUUUAGGAGGUCCACAGUGGCUUCUAUCAGCUGUGCUGAGGAGAGAAGAGCCAGGCAAAUUGCCCGCUGCCAGCCUUCUCGGGGAGGAAAGGUAGGCAGCAGCAUCGGUGGGGAUUGCGCUAACUCAAGGUGCCAGCUCCAUGCUGCUCUGGGGCUGGCCAGCGCUCUGGAUGUCAUUAGCUGAUUUGUUCUGCUCUGCAGAAUGUACUUUUCAUAUUUAGGCAGAAAAAAACAGCUUUCGAUCCUUGUGCCCUUUCUUCUGUGAGCUGUAGCACAUGGCCUGCUAAUUAUGAAUUAAUCCUCUAAAGAGCAUGUUCAUUAUUCUAAUUUAAUUGUGCUUCGUUUCAGAAAAUAACUAAACCCAGCGUGGAAUAAACUCCAAUGCUGAUCAGUUUUCAAGAAGUUAACAUAAGACAAAAUUCUGCUAGAGGGCAGCAGCAAUUUGGAAUCAUUAAAGGGAACCCAUGUAAAUAAUAAAAACAAAACUAAAAUGCAGAAUUAAAUUAAGGAAUAGGAAAUUAAAUUUGGGAAUCUAAUCUAAAAUUGAGGCCUUAUAUGCACAGGCUUACCCUGGCUUGGCUCUUCGCUCAGGAGUGCUCAGGAGAGGAGGUUCUGCAGAGUUUCCCACGACCAGGGAAGCGGCAGUCCCUCCUGGGUGGCAGUUUGCUGUUCUGGGAAGAGAGAUGUGGGCUGAAGUGGGAGAAAGGGGGCUUUCCUCCCACGGGGUCAACUGUGAUGAAGAUGAAAGCCACAUUGUCACAGAUGCAUCUGGAUAGCUCAUCCUGAGCCCUGGUGACCGGUUCAGGAGAACUGCCUGCAGCCAAGAGUCCAAGCUGCCACUCACUAGGAGGAAGCACAGGAAAUGAGGCAGAUGGUGCUGGGUGGCUGCUGGCCUGAGAUGCUGGGAGUGGUCAGCCCUGGGCAAAGAAGCCGCGCCAGCCCUCCUUCACCUUUGGGCCCUGGGCACCCUUCCACAGGUGACCCAGCUCAGGACAGAGGCUGAGGGAGUUUCCUCCUGCCCGGGCAGUGGCCCCUAAGCAGGGUCCUGGCCUCCCCACCAUCACCGUGAGAGCCCAGUUACAGAUGGAGGAGACCCGGACUCCAGCAGCAUCAUGACAGGUGGUGAAACUGAGGACAGAGGGUGAUAAGGGCUUGCUCAAGGUCAUACAGCAAGGUGGUGCAAGAGUCAGAACCAACACACAGAUCUUCAGACUCCCAGUUCAAGGUAUCAAGAGAUGCCCAUGGGAGCAGGGUGUGAUUCAUGAGCUCUUCGUGCACAGCUGUCCCAUUCCUGAGAAGGGUCUGACAGAUUCUGAGCACGGCACUCAAGCCAAAAGGAAUCCCUCUCGAUUUAGAAAUCUUCAGCCACUCCCUGGAAAAUGAGGAAUAGAGCCUAGAAUGAGGUAUCACUUAAAACUUUGGAACAGGGCCUCAAGGAGCUCCCAUGUGGUAGGGAACACAGAUGUGGAGCUCUUUCAAUGCAGCAUGGAGAGUUGUGCACCAGAGUCAGCCACAUGUCCCUCACGUCAAGCCUCAUUUCUGGCUACUUCUCCUCACUCUACUCCAGCCACAUGGGCCCCAAAGCAUCGAGCAACUUCCAGCCUUUAGGACCAUCAUACCAGCUCUUCCCUCAGCCCAGAAUGCUCUCCUACCCCUUUCCCCAGUCCUAUAUCCAACUAAAUCCUUCAAGUCUCAGCUCAACUAUUACUGCCUUACGGAAACCUAAUUUGACUCCCCAUUAAUGUUUCUCUUGGCACUUUUUACUUUGGCAGCACUGAUGACUUAUACCUUUUAAAGAAUAUAUUUAUUUGUAUUAUUGUUUAAUGCCAGAGCCCCUGAGGGCAAGGUUGAAUAUGUUUUGCUCAUGACUGUAUCCCUUGUGAUGAUAUCAAAAACUUGUAUCAGUUAGAAAGAAAGAAAGAGAGAGAGAGAAAGAGAGAAAGAAAAAAUAAUGAAGUUCCAGUUAUCUACCACUGCACAACAAACCAUCUCAACAUUUUACAACUUGAAACAGUAACCAUUGUAUUUUAUCCCCCAACUUUGUGGGCUGGUAAUUUGUGAAGGGAUCAGCUAGGCAAUUCAUGUCUUCUAUGGUCUCCAUGAAGGUCAUUCGAUGGCAUCAGAUGGUAAAUGGUCUAGUUUGGAGGGUCGAAGCUGGCUUUGCUUACAUUUCUGGUGCCUUGAUGGCUGGGGGGCCAGACUCAUUUAGAACUACUGAUGUGAAUGGCUUCUCCAGUAUGUUGCUAUAAAUAGGUUAGUCAAACUUUCUACGAGGUGGCUCAGAGGGAGGAUCCCAAGAGACCCGGGUGGAAGCUUCAAAGUCAUGUAUGACCUACCUUGAAAGUUCCAGACAUUGACUUCCACUGCGUGCUACUGGCCAAGCGAGUCAGUAAGGCGAUCCCGGAUCAAGGGAGGGAAUUAGAACCCAACUCCCAUGUGUAGAAUGUCGAAGAUGUUGCAGGCAUCAUCUCUAAGCCACCACAAUGGGGCGGGGGACAGGGGAAUGACAUUUAUCCUUUCACAGUGGUCAUCCUGACUAUAGUGCCCAGAAAGAAAGAAAAAGGAUGGAAUAUGCCUAGGGAGAUCAAUUCAGAACAUAAUAGAAAUAAAAAUACAAAAAAAGAGGGUUUAAAUGGUAUCUACUGGAAGAGAAAAGGAGGCAUGAAUUUGAGAGAUAUUUUAGGAAGCAGUAGAAAGGAACAGUAAGAGCAUGGACUAUGGAGCCACAUCAUCUAGCUUUGAAUCCUUGUUCUGCCACAUACCAAUGGUGAGAGCUCUGGAAAACUAGUUGUUUUCUCUGGUCCUCAGUUUCCUCAUCUGUAAAAUAGGUAUAAUAAUUGUACUUAUUUCACAGGGUUGUUGAACAGAUUAUAUGAAUUAAUACAUGGGGGAAAAGAGCCUAAAACAGUUUCUAGGUAUACUAAGGGUACAAUAAAUAUUAGCUCUUAAAGGAAAAUAAAUAAAUAAAACUUACUAGGAGUCAAGUUUCGUCAGAAAGCCAAGGCAUGGCUAGGGGAAAUAGGAAAGGUUCCCUCUAUCUAUGUGUUCUGUUUGUCAGUGAUGUUGAGGAGGCAUUUUAAGCUUCCAACUUUGCAGCUGUAAUGUACUUUGGAGUGUUGCAUACUCCCACACCACCUAGAUAUGGUUACUUGCUAGGUUUACUGAAUUCAAUACUAGUGAAAAAACGGGA